CUACUAUUAACAUCAUAUUUUCGGUUUCCUGAUUUUAUUUAAAAAUUUCUGUAAAAUGGACAAUAAUCGUUUUUUCAAUUUUCUCAAGCAUUUCCAACAAAAGAGUCCUGAAUUAACACCGAUGGAAGCAAUUACCUGCGGUGGAAUUUUAUGGAAGUGUUUUCAAGAAAGUGAAAAAGAAGAAUUUUUACCAUUUAGUUACUCUAUAUUGAAGGGUGACUCUACUGAAAUACUUCUUCCUAUUGCAAAGCCCAAAACCUGUAGAGGUAAAAAAAAACGCAAACCUACUAGGAGGGGUGGCGCAAAGAAAUGGUGGCCAAAAAAAAGUCAACUGGUUCCCCGACGUGUAGGAACGAUCAAAAACAAUAAGAAAAAAUUUUUCGAUACCGAUUAAUGAACAUUUUGUAAACCAUCUAUAAAGGUUUUACGGUAUCAGUAGUACCUAAUAUAUCCACAACCUGAAGGGCAUAAGUAAAUUUCUUAUUUACCCUGGUUUAAAUUUGCUUUGAUACAAGCAAUUUGGUGUUAAGACUAUAAAGGACGAUAAAGGACGACAAAGGACGAAUAAUCUGGACUACAUAUUGGAAAUCGGUGAGGAUUACGUAAAGUAUUUCUACUUUUGAGAAAACGAAAUUUAAAAGUGAUUAAAAAUAUUUGGAAGCACGAGCAUUAAUAAAGAUUUUUAAAGAGUA
Teleopsis dalmanni is the source of this 692-nucleotide long non-coding RNA. RefSeq lists it as uncharacterized. The record is from RefSeq and is a predicted model, not a curated record. NCBI's taxonomy places the organism in Eukaryota, Metazoa, Arthropoda, Insecta, Diptera, Diopsidae. The transcript has 4 exons.